This 914-nucleotide ribosomal RNA is filed under the name Escherichia coli. Its description in RNAcentral is "partial 23S ribosomal RNA". It matches the Rfam family "Bacterial large subunit ribosomal RNA", at positions 1 to 945 of the family's 2925-position model. Lineage: Bacteria; Pseudomonadati; Pseudomonadota; Gammaproteobacteria; Enterobacterales; Enterobacteriaceae. The record is from RNAcentral.
GGGUUGUGAGGUUAAGCGACUAAGCGUACACGGUGGAUGCCCUGGCAGUCAGAGGCGAUGAAGGACGUGCUAAUCUGCGAUAAGCGUCGGUAAGGUGAUAUGAACCGUUAUAACCGGCGAUUUCCGAAUGGGGAAACCCAGUGUGUUUCGACACACUAUCAUUAACUGAAUCCAUAGGUUAAUGAGGCGAACCGGGGGAACUGAAACAUCUAAGUACCCCGAGGAAAAGAAAUCAACCGAGAUUCCCCCAGUAGCGGCGAGCGAACGGGGAGCAGCCCAGAGCCUGAAUCAGUGUGUGUGUUAGUGGAAGCGUCUGGAAAGGCGCGCGAUACAGGGUGACAGCCCCGUACACAAAAAUACACAUACUGUGAGCUCGAUGAGUAGGGCGGGACACGUGGUAUCCUGUCUGAAUAUGGGGGGACCAUCCUCCAAGGCUAAAUACUCCUGACUGACCGAUAGUGAACCAGUACCGUGAGGGAAAGGCGAAAAGAACCCCGGCGAGGGGAGUGAAAAAGAACCUGAAACCGUGUACGUACAAGCAGUGGGAGCACAGAGCAAUCUGUGUGACUGCGUACCUUUUGUAUAAUGGGUCAGCGACUUAUAUUCUGUAGCAAGGUUAACCGAAUAGGGGAGCCGAAGGGAAACCGAGUCUUAACUGGGCGUUAAGUUGCAGGGUAUAGACCCGAAACCCGGUGAUCUAGCCAUGGGCAGGUUGAAGGUUGGGUAACACUAACUGGAGGACCGAACCGACUAAUGUUGAAAAAUUAGCGGAUGACUUGUGGCUGGGGGUGAAAGGCCAAUCAAACCGGGAGAUAGCUGGUUCUCCCCGAAAGCUAUUUAGGUAGCGCCUCGUGAAUUCAUCUCCGGGGGUAGAGCACUGUUUCGGCAAGGGGGUCAUCCCGACUUACCAACCC